This 700-nucleotide ribosomal RNA is filed under the name uncultured bacterium. RNAcentral describes it as "bacterial SSU rRNA". It matches the Rfam family "Bacterial small subunit ribosomal RNA", at positions 8 to 731 of the family's 1533-position model. The record is from RNAcentral.
AGAGUUUGAUCAUGGCUCAGAAUGAACGUUGGCGGCGUGGAUUAGGCAUGCAAGUCGAACGGGCCCCGCAAGGGGUCAGUGGCGAAAGGGAGAGGAAUACGUAGGUACCUGCCUCCGGGUCGGGGAUAGCCACGGGAAACUGUGGGUAAUACCCGAUAAUGUCUCCGGACCAAAGGUGUGACUCCACCUGGAGAGGGGCCUGCGUCCUAUUAGCUAGUUGGCGGGGUAAUGGCCCACCAAGGCUACGAUGGGUACGGGGUGUGAGAGCAUGCCCCCGCUCACUGGGACUGAGAUACUGCCCAGACACCUACGGGUGGCUGCAGUCGAGAAUCUUCCGCAAUGGGCGCAAGCCUGACGGAGCGACGCCGCGUGUGGGAUGAAGGCCUUCGGGUUGUAAACCACUGUCGUAGGGGAGGAAGGACCGGUGAAGAGCCGGUUUUGACCUAUCCUAGGAGGAAGGGUGGGCUAAGUUCGUGCCAGCAGCCGCGGUAAGACGAACCACCCAAACGUUAUUCGGAAUUACUGGGCUUAAAGGGUGCGUAGGCGGCGUGGAAAGUUGGGUGUGAAAUCCCUCGGCUCAACCGAGGAACUGCGCUCAAAACUACCAUGCUCGAGGAAGACAGAGGUAAGCGGAACUUCGGGUGGAGCGGUGAAAUGCGUUGAUAUCCGAAGGAACACCGGUGGCGAAAGCGGCUUACUG